This 479-nucleotide ribosomal RNA is filed under the name uncultured bacterium. Its description in RNAcentral is "partial 16S ribosomal RNA". It matches the Rfam family "Bacterial small subunit ribosomal RNA", at positions 28 to 523 of the family's 1533-position model. The record is from RNAcentral.
AAUGAACGUUGGCGGCGUGGAUUAGGCAUGCAAGUCGAGCGAGAACCCCGCAAGGGGGGACAGCGGCAAACGGGGUAGUAAUGUGUCGGAACGUGCCCAGAGGACGGGGAUAGCGGCGGGAAACUGCCGGUAAUACCCGAUGAUCUCGAGAGAGCAAAGGUGUGAUUCCGCCUUUGGAGCGGCCGACAUGGUAUUAGCUAGUUGGCGGGGUAACGGCCCACCAAGGCUGUGAUGCCUAGGGGAUGUGAGAGCAUGAUCCCCACCAUUGGGACUGAGACACUGCCCAGACACCUACGGGUGGCUGCAGUCGAGAAUCUUCGUCAAUGGGCGAAAGCCUGAACGAGCGACGCCGCGUGCGGGAUGAAGGCCUUUGGGUUGUAAACCGCUGUCGAGGGGGAUGAAGGCAUUCAGGUUCUCCUGAAUGUUUGGCAGAGCCCUGGAGGAAGCACGGGCUAAGUUCGUGCCAGCCGCCGCAGUAA